This 221-nucleotide ribosomal RNA is filed under the name Acinetobacter baumannii OIFC143. RNAcentral describes it as "partial 16S ribosomal RNA". It matches the Rfam family "Bacterial small subunit ribosomal RNA", at positions 497 to 716 of the family's 1533-position model. Lineage: Bacteria; Pseudomonadati; Pseudomonadota; Gammaproteobacteria; Moraxellales; Moraxellaceae. The record is from RNAcentral.
CUAACUCUGUGCCAGCAGCCCGCGGUAAUACAGAGGGUGCGAGCGUUAAUCGGAUUUACUGGGCGUAAAGCGUGCGUAGGCGGCUUAUUAAGUCGGAUGUGAAAUCCCCGAACUUAACUUGGGAAUUGCAUUCGAUACUGGUGAGCUAGAGUAUGGGAGAGGAUGGUAGAAUUCCAGGUGUAGCGGUGAAAUGCGUAGAGAUCUGGAGGAAUACCGAUGGC